AGUGAACGCUGGCGGUAGGCCUAACACAUGCAAGUCGAACGGCAGCACAGUAAGAGCUUGCUCUUACGGGUGGCGAGUGGCGGACGGGUGAGGAAUACAUCGGAAUCUACUUUUUCGUGGGGGAUAACGUAGGGAAACUUACGCUAAUACCGCAUACGACCUACGGGUGAAAGCAGGGGAUCUUCGGACCUUGCGCGAUUGAAUGAGCCGAUGUCGGAUUAGCUAGUUGGCGGGGUAAAGGCCCACCAAGGCGACGAUCCGUAGCUAGUCUGAGAGGAUGAUCAGCCACACUGGAACUGAGACACGGUCCAGACUCCUACGGGAGGCAGCAGUGGGGAAUAUUGGGCAAUGGGCGCAAGCCUGAUCCAGCCAUACCGCGUGGGUGAAGAAGGCCUUCGGGUUGUAAAGCCCUUUUGUUGGGAAAGAAAAGCAGCAGGUUAAUACCCCGCUGUUCUGACGGUACCCAAAGAAUAAGCACCGGCUAACUUCGUG
This 492-nucleotide ribosomal RNA is filed under the name uncultured bacterium. RNAcentral describes it as "partial 16S ribosomal RNA". It matches the Rfam family "Bacterial small subunit ribosomal RNA", at positions 29 to 507 of the family's 1533-position model. The record is from RNAcentral.